GUUUUUAAAGCAGGGCACGCAGGUAGCGCUCGGUGUGCAAACGCGAAGGGGACGAACGGACACGCGGUCACUGCUGCCCGGGACAGGGAGCGAGCGCUGCCCGUGCCCGAGGCCCUGAGCAGUGUCCCCGGGUCAUCCGGCGCUCCGCGGCUGGGCAGGGGCGCCCGGCCACCACCUCCGGCCUCCUGGAGCUGCAGUGUCCCAGCUGUUCCCAGCGUUCCUGUUCCUGGCCUGCUGGCCGUGUGUCCCUGUCACCUUUCGGGACUUGCUGGUGCAGCCUGCGCAGUUUCCCGUGGAAGUAAGGAGACUUGUUAAUCCCUGAGGAAAGCCUAACGUGGCAGCCUCAGCAGCUGCACACAUCAGAAAACAGCUGCCUUCGAGAGGGACCGUGGACAGCAUGGCACAAGUGCCACCAAGGGCCUGUGAGGAGCAGGAGGCUUCCCUAAGAGGUCUCAGUGGGGGCAGCAGUGCUGGACACCGCCCAAAGUGUGAGCAAAACGGAGCAGGCCUGCAGGAAGCUGGAGCGAGCGGGGCAGUGCCCUGCGUGAGGCCAGCCUGAGGAGGGGUGGCAACGAUCUACAGGAAACCUCCUAAGAGAGUGAAGUCAUUA
This is a long non-coding RNA of Vidua chalybeata, 610 nucleotides long. RefSeq lists it as uncharacterized. The record is from RefSeq and is a predicted model, not a curated record. Lineage: Eukaryota; Metazoa; Chordata; Aves; Passeriformes; Viduidae. The transcript has 2 exons.